Molecule: long non-coding RNA, 1470 nt
Organism: Apis cerana (Asiatic honeybee)
Lineage: Eukaryota; Metazoa; Arthropoda; Insecta; Hymenoptera; Apidae
Source: RefSeq, a predicted model, not a curated record
UGCUUCGACCUAUGACACUUAAUAGCUUUUUAUUUUUAAUGAAAUUAACUAUGUUCGCGUUUCAAUAAUUACAGAUAUUGCUUCUAUUGUUAAUUACUCGCCACAGCUUUAAUUAUAUUUUUAAUUACCCGAUAUAUCGUGUACAAUUCAUCGAACAUGAUACGUUUUCAAGGAGGCUUCCAAAUUCGUAUCUAUUCUCGUUUAAUUAUAUAUAGAGAGCUACUUAUAAGAAAGGUUAGAUUGAGAGGUUCGAUACAAUGUCCCUCGAGACAUGUAUCGAGUUUAACAAGCGCUCCUUAUUCGUCCUUUUAGGAAAUAUCGAUAUCGCGCAAAGUCGAAUAUGCGGAUAUAUAUCGAAGGAUCCAUCGAGAUAAACGAUUGCGACAGUAAACAUAAACGCAAUAUGGACGCGGCGCUUGAUUCUUUCGCGUGGUUUUCUUUACAAACGUUAUAAACUUUAUCCUCGCAAAGAAUUUAGGACGUGAGUAGUGCAUACUAGUCGGAAAUGAGUGUUGUAUAAAAAAUUUCGUUUUCUUGCGCUCGUGCAAGUCGUCUGCUUUCGAAAAAUCAAGAGAAAAGAAAGAAAAGGAUUCUAACCUACUUUCAUUUGCUUUGAUAAAACAUGUGCGCAUACACGGUCACGUGCUUCGCUAAAAAUAAAACGUCUUAAUUCGAUUGCUUGUUUCGCAGAUAAUUCGUUUCAUAAUUCUUGGCAUAAAAACCAUGCUAUAUUAUAUAACCAUGCGAUAAUGGAUAAUCGACAAACUAUCAAAAUAUCGAUAAAAGAAGAUGACGAAAAUCUUAGAUUCAGUGGCCUUCGAAUCAUGACUUUAUAACGAUUUUAUAUUUAUCUAUGUAUCUCUACGAAUAAUAAAUUCGAUUUGGUGUAUAUACAAUACAAUUUUUAAGAUGGUGAACGAAAUAAACCAUUUCCGAUUGUAUCCUAGUAUAUGGGAAUAUAGUUAUGGGAAAUUUCUUUCGGAAGAAUUGCAAUAUUGAAGUUUAUCGCAAGAUUUUCCAUAAAAUAUGACGUAUAACGGAGAAACAUAACAGAGAUAGAAAAAGAGGUACAAUUUCCAACCUAUUUUCAUUUCCUUCCUGCGAGAGGAUCGUUUCAUCCAAAUUGAUGACUGUACGAAUGAAGAUAAAAGUGGAGAAAGUACCAGAAAAGGAAAAUUGCGGAAAAUCUUACUUCUAAGACUUCGUGACCCCGAAGAAGUUAUCCUUCAAGGUAGCGAGCUGGAAGGACAAAAAAGUAAAGAUGUUCGAAGAAAUCUUUUGACGAGAGGAAUGAGUAAGUUUGCAAGAAGAAAAGGAAAAGAAUUUAUUUUAAAAGAAGCAUACACAGAAUGAGGUGUCGAUGGUAUAAACUGCUACGCAAAUGUAAUUUUUAAAUUUCACCGUUAAAUUAUAUCGGUAAUUCAAUCUCGGUCUAUUUCGCAAUUAAAUUGUUUUCGAUUUCGUUUUGCA